RNAcentral lists this ribosomal RNA (876 nucleotides) under uncultured archaeon. Its description in RNAcentral is "bacterial SSU rRNA". It matches the Rfam family "Archaeal small subunit ribosomal RNA", at positions 21 to 903 of the family's 1478-position model. The record is from RNAcentral.
CCUGACUGCUAUCGGAUUGAUACUAAGCCAUGCGAGUCAUUGUAGCAAUACAAGGCAUACGGCUCAGUAACGCGUAGUCAACCUAACCUAUGGACGGGAAUAACCUCGGGAAACUGAGAAUAAUGCCCGAUAGAACAUUAUACCUGGAAUGGUUUAUGUUCCAAAUGAUUUAUCGCCGUAGGAUGGGACUGCGGCCUAUCAGUUUGUUGGUGAGGUAAUGGCCCACCAAGACUAUUACAGGUACGGGCUCUGAGAGGAGUAGCCCGGAGAUGGGUACUGAGACACGGACCCAGGCCCUAUGGGGCGCAGCAGGCGAGAAAACUUUGCAAUGUGCGAAAGCACGACAAGGUUAAUCCGAGUGAUUUCUGCUAAAGAAAUCUUUUGUUAGUCCUAGAAACACUAACGAAUAAGGGGUGGGCAAGUUCUGGUGUCAGCCGCCGCGGUAAAACCAGCACCUCAAGUGGUCAGGAUGAUUAUUGGGCCUAAAGCAUCCGUAGCCGGCUUUGUAAGUUUUCGGUUAAAUCCAUGUGCUCAACGCAUGGGCUGCCGAAAAUACUGCAUAGCUAGGGAGUGGGAGAGGUAGACGGUACUCAGUAGGUAGGGGUAAAAUCCUUUGAUCUAUUGAUGACCACCUGUGGCGAAGGCGGUCUACCAGAACACGUUCGACGGUGAGGGAUGAAAGCUGGGGGAGCAAACCGGAUUAGAUACCCGGGUAGUCCCAGCUGUAAACUAUGCAAACUCAGUGAUGCAUUGGCUUGUGGCCAUUGCAGUGUCGCAGGGAAGCCGUUAAGUCUGCCGCCUGGGAAGUACGUACGCAAGUAUGAAACUUAAAGGAAUUGGCGGGGGAGCACCACCAAGGGGUGAAGCCUGCGGUUC